ACCUUCUAUGACUUGAUCUUUUUACUCAGAACUGGAACUUGUGCAUCACUGAAUAAUUCUUCAUUGCAGCAGCUAGUGUUUUCUUGUCCUGAUACACUUGUCCUUCUUCAAUACAUGUUUGUGUACAUUCAAUUAUUAUUUCACUUUGAUAUUCCUCCAUAGCUGGUGAGGAUGGAUUUCUUCAAUACAUGUUUGCAUACAUUCAGUUAUUAUUUCACUUUGAUAUUCCUCUAU
RNAcentral lists this long non-coding RNA (234 nucleotides) under Nicotiana benthamiana. RNAcentral describes it as "long non-coding RNA (NBEN_LNC027351)". The record is from RNAcentral. Lineage: Eukaryota; Viridiplantae; Streptophyta; Magnoliopsida; Solanales; Solanaceae.